This 257-nucleotide ribosomal RNA is filed under the name Salmonella enterica subsp. enterica serovar Enteritidis. RNAcentral's name for it is "partial 23S ribosomal RNA". It matches the Rfam family "Bacterial large subunit ribosomal RNA", at positions 506 to 766 of the family's 2925-position model. The record is from RNAcentral. Lineage: Bacteria; Pseudomonadati; Pseudomonadota; Gammaproteobacteria; Enterobacterales; Enterobacteriaceae.
AGGGAAAGGCGAAAAGAACCCCGGCGAGGGGAGUGAAAAAGAACCUGAAACCGUGUACGUACAAGCAGUGGGAGCACCCUUUGGGUGUGACUGCGUACCUUUUGUAUAAUGGGUCAGCGACUUAUAUUCUGUAGCAAGGUUAACCGAAUAGGGGAGCCGGAGGGAAACCGAGUCUUAACCGGGCGUUAAGUUGCAGGGUAUAGACCCGAAACCCGGUGAUCUAGCCAUGGGCAGGUUGAAGGUUGGGUAACACUAAC